Molecule: ribosomal RNA, 306 nt
Filed under: Triticum aestivum (bread wheat)
Lineage: Eukaryota; Viridiplantae; Streptophyta; Magnoliopsida; Poales; Poaceae
Description: partial small subunit ribosomal RNA
Source: RNAcentral
AUGGACCUUCUCGAAGUCUUCUUCGAUAAGGAAGCACUGCAUGAAGAACUCAAUGCCCAGAAGCUAGAGGUAACCAAGCAUGCAGAGGAAGACCUUGAAGUUCGGAAACUUCGUCAGGAACUGGAGAACAGCAGGACCAUAGCUCGUACCAAAGAUGUUGAGAUCCAGAAGCUCAAGAAUCAACUCCAAGACAUACUGGGACGCCACAGGAAACUCCAUCUCGACAGAGAUUAUCUGGUUGAUAUCCAACACAAGCAGAAGAAGCCCCGUGGAGAUCAGAACCAAGAUCUGGAGAAGUUAGUUUAG